UACAGAGGGUGCGAGCGUUAAUCGGAAUUACUGGGCGUAAAGCGAACGUAGACGGUUGGAUAAGUCGGAUGUGAAAGCCCCGGGCUCAACCUGGGAAUUGCAUUCGAGACUGUUCAGCUAGGGUGCGGAAGAGGGAAGCGGAAUUUCCGGUGUAGCGGUGAAAUGCGUAGAUAUCGGAAGGAACACCAGUGGCGAAAGCGGCUUCCUGGUCCAGCACCGACGUUCAGGUUCGAAAGCAUGGGGAGCAAACAGG
RNAcentral lists this ribosomal RNA (253 nucleotides) under uncultured bacterium. Its description in RNAcentral is "partial 16S ribosomal RNA". It matches the Rfam family "Bacterial small subunit ribosomal RNA", at positions 524 to 776 of the family's 1533-position model. The record is from RNAcentral.